This 406-nucleotide ribosomal RNA is filed under the name uncultured fungus. RNAcentral's name for it is "eukaryotic LSU rRNA". The stretch from base 1 to 120 matches the Rfam family "5.8S ribosomal RNA", at positions 30 to 154 of the family's 154-position model. The record is from RNAcentral. Lineage: Eukaryota; Fungi.
GCAUCGAUGAAGAACGCAGCAAAUUGCGAAAAUUAAUGUGCAUUGCAGUACGUGAAUCAUCGAGUCUUUGAACGCAGCUUGCACUCUGGAUUACUCCAGAGUAUGCCUAUUUGAGUAUCAGUUAAACCCCUCUCUCAAACCCCCAAGUGUGGUGGUUUGGGGAUUUUCUGAGUCAUGCAUAUGUAUACAUGCUGAUUUGAAUCCUAGUGAAUCGGGUCUAUGCUCAUGUGGCGCGCCCUCUGUCUGGUGUUUGGCGUGAUAAAUGUAAUGUUGUGUUUCUCGUCAACCUCUCACCCUAGACAUGGUGGCCUCAUAGAUCUAAUCACCCCCCCCAACAAUAUCUCUCCUUUGAUCUCAAAUUAGGUAGGACUACCCGCUGAACUUAAGCAUAUCAAUAAGCGGAGGA